RNAcentral lists this ribosomal RNA (465 nucleotides) under uncultured bacterium. Its description in RNAcentral is "partial 16S ribosomal RNA". It matches the Rfam family "Bacterial small subunit ribosomal RNA", at positions 339 to 795 of the family's 1533-position model. The record is from RNAcentral.
CUACGGGGGGCUCCAGUGAGGAAUUUUGCGCAAUGGGGGCAACCCUGACGCAGCAACGCCGCGUGAGUGAAGAAGGCCUUUGGGUCGUAAAGCUCUGUCAACAGGGAAGAAGUUACUAUGUAUUAAUAGUAUGUAGUAUUGACGGUACCUGUGGAGGAAGCAUCGGCUAACUCCGUGCCAGCAGCCGCGGUAAUACGGGGGAUGCACGCGUUAUUCGGAAUCAUUGGGCGUAAAGGGCACGCAGGCGGCUCUGUCAGUCAGAUGUGAAAGCCCGGGGCUCAACCCCGGACGUGCAUUUGAAACAGCAGAGCUUGAGUACGGUAGAGGAAAGCGGAAUUCCUGGUGUAGAGGUGAAAUUCGUAGAUAUCAGGAGGAACACCGGUGGCGAAGGCGGCUUUCUGGACCGAAACUGACGCUGAGGUGCGAAGGCGUGGGUAGCGAACAGGAUUAGAUACCCUCGUAGUC